This 253-nucleotide ribosomal RNA is filed under the name uncultured Acidobacteriota bacterium. RNAcentral's name for it is "uncultured Acidobacteria bacterium partial 16S ribosomal RNA". It matches the Rfam family "Bacterial small subunit ribosomal RNA", at positions 524 to 776 of the family's 1533-position model. The record is from RNAcentral. Lineage: Bacteria; Pseudomonadati; Acidobacteriota.
UACGUAGGCAGCGAGCGUUGUUCGGAAUUACUGGGCGUAAAGAGUGUGUAGGUGGUGCUCCAAGUCUGUUGUGAAAUCUCCCGGCUUAACUGGGAGGGUGCAGCGGAAACUGGAAUGCUUGAGGAUGGGAGAGGAAAGCGGAAUUCCUGGUGUAGCGGUGAAAUGCGUAGAUAUCAGGAGGAACACCCGUGGUGUAGACAGCUUUCUGGACCAUAUCUGACACUGAGACACGAAAGCGUGGGUAGCAAACAGG